RNAcentral lists this unclassified non-coding RNA (745 nucleotides) under Hevea brasiliensis (rubber tree). Lineage: Eukaryota; Viridiplantae; Streptophyta; Magnoliopsida; Malpighiales; Euphorbiaceae. The record is from RNAcentral.
GGAAGAAACCAAGAGCCGCACAGGUAUGCUGUAACUUGUUUAUUGAUAUUGGAUGAUUGUAUAUCAUAAUAGUAACUUUUGUAUAUAUAUGGUACCUAAAUUGCUCUAUUCUGGAAGAAGCAUCAUGCAUUCAGGAACUUGAUCAGUGAAAACCACUGUAAUUCAUUUUGGGAUAAAAUGAAAAGAUUUUAGCAUAGUAUAUCCAUUCCUAUGCUUAGUGGGCUGCACUUGUUCCUUUUCUCUAGUCAUUUAUUCAAAUAUGUAAUUGGCUUGAAUUACCUUCUUUUUGUGCUUUACAUAUUCAGAAAAAGAACAACUUUGAUUUUGGUGGUUUGAUGAUUGAUGGACUUUUUUCAGAUCGGAAGCCACCUGGGGUGGGUCGUGGAAGAGGAAGAGGUAGAGAGGAUGGCGGGAGGCCAGUGAAAGGCAUUGGGCGUGGCCUUGAUGAUGCUAAGGCUGCUGGUGGAGGCCGUGGCAGAGGUGGCUUAGGUGGAAAGACAGGUGGAAACAGAGGUUAGUUUACAAAUUGUGUGAAAAAAGGUUUGAUGAAGUAGAUUAUUUGCCAUGAUGUAUUCUAUGGUUACUUGUUUUAUUGCAAAUUAAUGUUACUUUGUUAUAGAAAAUAAGAUGAUUUAAUGAAAUGUUACAAUUCAUCUCAUGAGAUUUUUUGUAAAUUGAUACAUUUUUCCAUAUAAUAAUUAAUUACGAAAAAUUUGUUAACUUAAUGACAAAAAGUAAAAUUUAU